CCUGGUCUACACCUCGGGUGUGAGCUCAUCCUGCUCCUUCCUCUUUUCUGCCCUUGUCCCAGCUUUGUGCAGCACCUGGUGAGACAGGAAAUGGCUUUGGUGAAGGUGCAAAGCACGGGAUAAGGAAAUUUGACUGCACUACCCAAGAGUUACCCAGUGUCGGCAGCAGGUCUCACAUUUCCUUUUGCAGAGAGGGUUCCUGCAGCCGCCUUCCACCCUUAUGCCCUGGCACCAGCCAGUCUCUGAUACUUUAACAAAACCCAUUUUCCUUGCUUUAAGUGAAUCCAUGCUUUCUAACAAGUGGGACUAAGCAACCUGUGACCUUUGGCCAGUCACUCUGGGAGGCUGUGGUUUGGUGAUGUGCUGCAUCCUGUUUCAGGGGUUCCAGUACCAGAAUAUGGGUGCUGCGGUCGCACACCACUCAGCACCGACCCAGCCUCCCCGCCACUGCACCUCUCUCUGCCCUCAGCGGGUGUCCUAACACCACAGGUGUCCCAGGGGACUGAGCUCAAACAUGAUUUCCUUCUCCCCAGCAAUUGGUGCAGUUGUACAAACUGCCCCUGUUCUGGCCUUAAUGGGAAAGCACCUGCGGUUGCUCAGCUAGAAAAGCCCAAAUUAGUAAAGUACACUUGGGAAAUACCUUAAGGGCAAAAGGCAGAAUGGGGUGCCCAGGCCCUGUUCGAAAGCCUGAGAUGACAGAGAACAGUGAUAUUUUAUUAAUAAGCCACUAAUGACAGUCUCUUUGGCGUUUCCUUAAAAUUUAAUAUGUUGGCUUUGCCUUGCCUUCUGCUCAUGGAG
Long non-coding RNA from Anas platyrhynchos (mallard), 798 nucleotides. RefSeq lists it as uncharacterized. NCBI's taxonomy places the organism in Eukaryota, Metazoa, Chordata, Aves, Anseriformes, Anatidae. The record is from RefSeq and is a predicted model, not a curated record.